This is a long non-coding RNA of Ipomoea nil (Japanese morning glory), 319 nucleotides long. RefSeq lists it as uncharacterized. NCBI's taxonomy places the organism in Eukaryota, Viridiplantae, Streptophyta, Magnoliopsida, Solanales, Convolvulaceae. The record is from RefSeq and is a predicted model, not a curated record. The transcript has 4 exons.
CAUCGCAUUCGCGAUGAUGAUUGGAAGCGUGUUGUAGAAAUGCUCCUCGUCAACCGGAUAGUAACCAAUGCGGUUUCUUUGUCAUGGCGUACAUGAAAACUUUAAUUGAGAAUAUGCCAGACUUCGAUGAUAAAAAUUCUGUUCAAGCACUGUUUCAACAAGUUGAUUAUGACAAAGAGGUAUGAUUUGAUCAUUCGAACGUUGUGAUCAUCUAGACUUGAAUUGGUUCGGGAAAUUGUUUUUUGUGUAGUAGUGUUAUGACUUGAAUGAUAAUUAGAAUUGGUCAUGGAAGUCUUUUGACUUGUUAUUUUGAACCUUA